Molecule: ribosomal RNA, 497 nt
Filed under: uncultured bacterium
Lineage: Bacteria
Description: partial 16S ribosomal RNA
Rfam family: Bacterial small subunit ribosomal RNA
Source: RNAcentral
GAUGAACGCUGGCGGCGUGCCUAAUACAUGCAAGUCGAACGAACACACGCGGUGCUUGCUCUUGUCACUCUAGCGGCGGACGGGUGAGUAACACGUGGGUAACCUGCCCAUAAGACUGGGAUAACUUCCGGAAACCGGAGCUAAUACCGCAUAAGAUUUUGAGCCGCAUGGCUUAAUAAUGAAAAACGGCUUUGCCUUCUCCUAUAGAAUGGUCCGCGGGGCAUUAGCUAGUUGGUAAGGUAACGGCUUACCAAGGCAACGAUGCGUAGCCGACCUGAGAGGGUGAUCGGCCACACUGGAACUGAGACACGGUCCAGACUCCUACGGGAGGCAGCAGUAGGGAAUCUUCCGCAAUGGGCGAAAGCCUGACGGAGCAACGCCGCGUGAGUGAUGAAGGUCUUCGGAUCGUAAAACUCUGUUAUUAGGGAAGAACAAGUGUGAAAGUAACUAUGCACGUCUUGACGGUACCUAAUCAGAAAGCCACGGCUAACUACGUG